RNAcentral lists this ribosomal RNA (698 nucleotides) under Salmonella enterica subsp. enterica serovar Newport. RNAcentral describes it as "partial 23S ribosomal RNA". It matches the Rfam family "Bacterial large subunit ribosomal RNA", at positions 2154 to 2846 of the family's 2925-position model. The record is from RNAcentral. Lineage: Bacteria; Pseudomonadati; Pseudomonadota; Gammaproteobacteria; Enterobacterales; Enterobacteriaceae.
GCUUUGAAGUGUGGACGCCAGUCUGCAUGGAGCCGACCUUGAAAUACCACCCUUUAAUGUUUGAUGUUCUAACGUGGACCCGUAAUCCGGGUUGCGGACAGUGUCUGGUGGGUAGUUUGACUGGGGCGGUCUCCUCCUAAAGAGUAACGGAGGAGCACGAAGGUUGGCUAAUCCUGGUCGGACAUCAGGAGGUUAGUGCAAUGGCAUAAGCCAGCUUGACUGCGAGCGUGACGGCGCGAGCAGGUGCGAAAGCAGGUCAUAGUGAUCCGGUGGUUCUGAAUGGAAGGGCCAUCGCUCAACGGAUAAAAGGUACUCCGGGGAUAACAGGCUGAUACCGCCCAAGAGUUCAUAUCGACGGCGGUGUUUGGCACCUCGAUGUCGGCUCAUCACAUCCUGGGGCUGAAGUAGGUCCCAAGGGUAUGGCUGUUCGCCAUUUAAAGUGGUACGCGAGCUGGGUUUAGAACGUCGUGAGACAGUUCGGUCCCUAUCUGCCGUGGGCGCUGGAGAACUGAGGGGGGCUGCUCCUAGUACGAGAGGACCGGAGUGGACGCAUCACUGGUGUUCGGGUUGUCAUGCCAAUGGCACUGCCCGGUAGCUAAAUGCGGAAGAGAUAAGUGCUGAAAGCAUCUAAGCACGAAACUUGCCCCGAGAUGAGUUCUCCCUGAGACUUAGAGUCUCCUGAAGGAACGUUGAAGACG